UACGUAGGGGGCUAGCGUUGUCCGGAAUCAUUGGGCGUAAAGCGCGUGUAGGCGGCCCGAUAAGUCCGCUGUGAAAGUCGGGGGCUCAACCCUCGAAAGCCGGUGGAUACUGUCGGGCUAGAGUACGGAAGAGGCGAGUGGAAUUCCUGGUGUAGCGGUGAAAUGCGCAGAUAUCAGGAGGAACACCCAUUGCGAAGGCAGCUCGCUGGGACGUUACUGACGCUGAGACGCGAAAGCGUGGGGAGCGAUCCGG
RNAcentral lists this ribosomal RNA (253 nucleotides) under uncultured bacterium. Its description in RNAcentral is "partial 16S ribosomal RNA". It matches the Rfam family "Bacterial small subunit ribosomal RNA", at positions 524 to 776 of the family's 1533-position model. The record is from RNAcentral.